This 353-nucleotide ribosomal RNA is filed under the name uncultured bacterium. Its description in RNAcentral is "bacterial SSU rRNA". It matches the Rfam family "Bacterial small subunit ribosomal RNA", at positions 8 to 350 of the family's 1533-position model. The record is from RNAcentral.
AGAGUUUGAUCAUGGCUCAGGAUGAACGCUAGCUACAGGCUUAACACAUGCAAGUCGAGGGGAAACGACAUCGAAAGCUUGCUUUUGAUGGGCGUCGACCGGCGCACGGGUGAGUAACGCGUAUCCAACCUGCCCACCACUUGGGGAUAACCUUGCGAAAGUAAGACUAAUACAAGAUGUUAUCAUGAGUAAGCAUUUUCACAUGAUUAAAGGUUUACCGGUGUAAGAUGGGGAUGCGUUCCAUUAGAUAGUAGGCGGGGUAACGGCCACCUAGUCUUCGAUGGAUAGGGGGUUCUGAGAGGAAGGUCCCCCACAUUGGAACUGAGACACGGUCCAAACUCCUACGGGAGGCA